Molecule: long non-coding RNA, 276 nt
Organism: Oncorhynchus tshawytscha (Chinook salmon)
Lineage: Eukaryota; Metazoa; Chordata; Actinopteri; Salmoniformes; Salmonidae
Source: Ensembl
CCUGAACAUACCCAUUAUUAAAAUGGGAAUAUUUCUAAAUUCCAAAAGUAUGCUGAUCCGCUGUCUUGAUAACAGGGAACAAAGGGAGGGUGAUAUACCAAAAAGAGGAGAAUGAGGGGGUGAUAUACCAAAAAGAGGAGAAUGAGGGGGUGAUAUACCAAAAAGAGGAGAAUGAGGGGGUGAUAUACCAAAAAGAGGAGAAUGAGGGAGUGAUAUACCAAAAAGAGGAGAAUGAGGGGGUGAUAUACCAAAAAGAGGAGAAUGAGGGGGUGAUAU